Molecule: long non-coding RNA, 1580 nt
Organism: Struthio camelus australis
Lineage: Eukaryota; Metazoa; Chordata; Aves; Struthioniformes; Struthionidae
Source: Ensembl
AAGUCUGUCUCAGGCUCUUAGCUCCCUGGCAGGGUUGCUGCUGGACGCCAGCCACAAGUGUUUAGUACUUGCAAACCCCUGCUUUUCUUCCCAAGUUCAACCACUCAAAAUUGUGCCAAACAUUGCAAACCAAAAAUUUUGGGUUGGUUUUGCAUGGUUUAUUACUAGCAAAAUCCCCUUCCUCUGCCCCUUUUUUUUUUUUCUUUUUUGCCAGUAUGUUUCACUUCUCUCGAAACCCACAGAAAACAUCCUUUGUUUUUUUUCUUGUUUCUCCCAAAAUGUGAGAUUUCCACAGCAGCUGUCCCAUGACUUAUUUUCCUCCCCGGGGGACCGAGGCGGGGAUGGAGUUACCUUCCCCAGAACAUUCCUCGAGGAGCAGCACGCCGGACUUGGUUACGCUUGGACAAAAGCGUCGCUCAGGAUCUUCUUGAAGCCUCAGUCAGCAGAAAGCGAGAAACGUGCUCGCUUCAGUCAGCCGUCUUCCCUUUCAUCUUUUGCCGCAGCACCUGUUUCAGGAAAUCGGGGAGAAGAAACAUCUAACUUUCAGUCUCCCAGACAUUUCUGGAUCAUUUUAAGGUAGCAACAGCACCGUGGCAGUGACUCGCAUUAUCGCAUUUAGAUACAUCUCUUUGUCUUCGCCAAUAUAACACACUUUGCGUUCUGGCUGGAAUACAGUACCCUCGUGGAUGCAUAUACGCACGCAUAUAGCUGUGCCUCGGCAAGGAAAUAAUACACUGUGAGCAGAAGCUGGUAAGGGGUUGGCCCUUCGCUGGCAGCUCAGCCGUGCUGCACCCGGGGCUGGAGGUGGCUGCUGGCUGGAGCAGCCCCGCUCGCGGCAGAGGGGCUGCCCAGGGGGAUUAAGGAGCUGCUCGGCAAAACCGACCCGCUGGCGGGACCCCGGGGUCUCUCCUUAAACAGCUUUCCUGGAGGGGCGGGCAGGGCGCAGGAGGUGGCGGGUGCGUGUGCCUGUCGCAUCGAUCCUGGCAGAAACCUCCUCCUCCCUGUUUGAUGCUGUUUUAUGGUGCUGGCAGGCUUCCAGGCUUGUUUUAUUGCUUCUGUCUUAAUUUCUCACUGUGACCGGCCAGUUAAGUAACAGGGCACCUGACUGUUUAAUGAGCAGCCGUGUCUCCGCGCUGCAUCCUGGAAACUUCCAUGUGGGUUUUAAAAAUAUAAAUGGGUUGAAGAGAUUGAUUUCUUUUUNNNNNNNNNNNNNNNNNNNNACCGUGCCACUAGAUUGCAAAAUGAUUGAUCAAAUGACCUUUUUUCCCAUUUACUGCCCUUCCCAGAAACCUGUCAUUUCAACAGACUACAAACAUCCCUGAUGAAAUCAAAUAGCCAUGCACUGGAUGUGAUGCAAAUGCUGUAAACCUAAAAUUUGUGAUACGUUUUAUGAUGUAACCAAUGGAGGGCUAGAUCUAAACACGUAUUGUCUCUCUAGCUGCCCCAUCUUCAACAGCUGUGGGAGCCUCUUGUGUGAGAAGGCUCCAGUCUUUGGGGGAAAGCCUAUUUCCCCUUCUACAGAGAAUUAGACCAGGAAGAGUAUAUAUAAAUAUAUCAACAUAUUUAUAAAUACUAUAUAU